RNAcentral lists this long non-coding RNA (432 nucleotides) under Apteryx owenii (little spotted kiwi). RNAcentral's name for it is "lncRNA (ENSAOWG00000009021.1)". Lineage: Eukaryota; Metazoa; Chordata; Aves; Apterygiformes; Apterygidae. The record is from RNAcentral.
CGGGGCCAUUAACGGUGCAGCUUCCCCAGAGAUGGGGUUGGAUGGAUUUGGUUAACUCUGACUGGUCCUUUGUGGACUUCUCUCUGCAGCUGCUGCCCACUAGUGGGAGAGAGAGGCCCAGAGAGCAAGUUACAUCAAAGUAGAUAGCAGAAGCCAGACAAACCUGACUUUCCCAUUAGAAUUUUUGGUCUGGUUCAGAGCUUUGUUAGGGGAACAAGCUGCCACAUGUCAACUUUUCUUGCUAUUGGAAGAUGCGAGUCAGCUCGCUCCUUUCUCACUGAUGGAUACUGUAUGGGAGAAAGGACAUUAACUCUACAAAGAGAGACAGUUGCACUAAUUCAGAGGAUGGGUGUAGGUGUAUCUGUUGGCAGCUGUGCUUCUCUCCGUGUUUAUGUGAAUAAAGGUUCCCUCUCCAGAAGAAGUCUUCUUUAG